AGGCACUGAUAAGAUUAAUUUUAUUCAUUGCCUACAUUUUAUGUAGAUGAUGUAGAUCAUGUAGUGUUAAUGAGAUUCAUAAUGUUUAUUAAUGUUAUUCAUUGCACAUGACGUCAUAAGGUCAAUGUAUUUGCUUAGCUAGCUGCUAGAACUAUUAUAGAUUAUCUUUGGCAACAAAUACGGCGGACUUAAACAAGCAUACACUGUAUAUUGCAAAUAAUACAGCAGUAUGAACAUAGUGUAAAUUUUGGUGUUGAAAUCUGGACCCGGGCCUAAGUGCGCAGAGACCUUAAGGGUACUCAGGUGCAUUAAGGACUGGGACAUUUAAUUAUUGCUGACUUGGCGAAUUCGAAGCUCCGCCCCCACGGUAACCAUGGUUUCCGCCCACUCGUGGUUUACCACUCACGUGAUACUGAGCUUCAUUUUUAUUAUUAGGCCUUGUGCUUGAAACUUGCUGUACUGCUUUAGCAAUCUAGCUGUGUGGAUGCAGCAUGUGCAGCGUACGUGAAUAAGAGAGUUGCCUGGUUAGUGAAUACUAAGGGUAUCAUCACAGAAUCAGCUGCUGAUGAGAGCGAGCACGUACAAUGGCUCAAGCUAGUGCAAUGACAUAAUUCAAUGACAUAAUUAUAUAGGUGUUUGAUAUAGAGACAAUUCUCAGUUCAAUGUUCUGGUCCUCUUCCUGUAUGUUAUUUAGAUGUUAUUAUUGUGUUGUAAACCAUUUUUAAAGACAAACUGUGAAAAAUAAAAAAGUGAUGA
Long non-coding RNA from Halichondria panicea, 756 nucleotides. RefSeq lists it as uncharacterized. The record is from RefSeq and is a predicted model, not a curated record. Lineage: Eukaryota; Metazoa; Porifera; Demospongiae; Suberitida; Halichondriidae. The transcript is spliced from 4 exons.